GCAGAAGUUGUGCUUUCAAUACUUAAAGUGCUCCGUGAUGCACCACAGUGCAUCUAAGGUGCUCUAAAUACUCCAGGCUGUGAUACUUUGUGUAUCUCUGAACAGGCCCCAUUAAUGCACCUCUUGUUUUUUUAUCUGUGUGUGCCUCAGUUCCACCUGAAAGAAGAGGGUGGGAGGGGGCAUACAAGGAAAAUUAAUUUAUCUUAUCACGGCACAAUGUAGGAAAAGUAAUGCGGGAGACCCACGGAUAAUACACUGAUGAACAUCCUUGCAACAUCCAUGAUGAAACUAUUGACUGUCUUCUUGACAAUCUACCUUGCUUGGACUAGUAUCAGCCACCUACAGGUUCUUCAGUGUUCCUCACAAAGAGUGCCUUGCAUUAGUCAUAGCCGUAUGCAUGAAAGAUGGCAAUCAUUCACACAAUAACUCAUCCCAGGCUUUCUAGACUGCACAGUCCAGUGGUUCAAGCUGUAGAAAGCACAAGAUUUAGCAUGAGUCACUCAGCAUUUCUACACGUCAGUCACCAGUUCCCCCUUCUAAACCUCAGUUCCUUUAAUUCCCCCAUCCUCUUUACCCCUUCCUGAGCAAGCAGCAUCAGUCUAGAGCUCAGAUCCGGUUGACUGGUGGUCUCAUGACGUGGUCUGAUGAUUGCUGCAUCCUUCAUACGGUUUCCAAAAGUUACAAUCAUACAAUGUUUUGUGGCUUGGUGCUGGUACACGACAACAAGAUCCUCUGCCUGCUUGCAGGUGCUUGCUGUGAGGAGACAACCGCUACUUUGUGCACCAUCUAGUAUUUGUGCACCAUCUGACAUUCUAGUUUUUGGGAAGAAACUCCAUCCCAGCCAGACCCAACACAGAGACUUGCAGCUACAUUUCUCUCUCUCUCUCUCUCUAUUUUUUUUUUCCCGUGUUGAUAGUGAUACCUUCUGUAUCUUUUAUGCAUUGGAUUACCUUUUGCUGCGUGUAGCCGUUCUGGACCCUUUUUGACUUUCACAGAAUUAACUAAGCUAGACACAAAAUUAAAAGUAGAGUUAAAAUUGGCCUCCUUUUCCUUUCAGAAUGAGCUGUUCGCUUGAACCAUGACUCAUCAUGGCUCGCAGUCACACCCAAGCGAACGAUGAACGGACUGGCCAAUCGCUCAGGAACGGGAGGAAAUCCAGAUAGGCACAGCAGAUGGGCUAAGAUUGGCUGCCUCCUCUUGCUGGAUCACCGCGGUGACAUACAUGUUUGUAAUCACUCCAGCUUCUCGACUGAGGCUCCAGCUUGGUAAUCACUACCAGAAACUGAACAGCUUCUGUUGUGGGGCAUUUAAUUUGCAGUUCUAAACAGAAGCAGGCUCUGAAUCAAUUUUUGUUCUGUUAUGACAAAUGGGAAAGCACACAACCUCA
RNAcentral lists this long non-coding RNA (1387 nucleotides) under Anser brachyrhynchus (Pink-footed goose). RNAcentral describes it as "lncRNA (ENSABRG00000014717.1)". The record is from RNAcentral. Lineage: Eukaryota; Metazoa; Chordata; Aves; Anseriformes; Anatidae.